RNAcentral lists this ribosomal RNA (468 nucleotides) under uncultured bacterium. Its description in RNAcentral is "partial 16S ribosomal RNA". It matches the Rfam family "Bacterial small subunit ribosomal RNA", at positions 28 to 507 of the family's 1533-position model. The record is from RNAcentral.
GACGAACGCUGGCGGCGUGCUUAACACAUGCAAGUCGAACGGAAAGGCCCUGCUUUUGUGGGGUGCUCGAGUGGCGAACGGGUGAGUAACACGUGGGUAACCUGCCCUUGACUUUGGGAUAACUUCAGGAAACUGGGGCUAAUACCGGAUAGGAGCUCCUGCUGCAUGGUGGGGGUUGGAAAGUUUCGGCGGUUGGGGAUGGACUCGCGGCUUAUCAGCUUGUUGGUGGGGUAGUGGCUUACCAAGGCUUUGACGGGUAGCCGGCCUGAGAGGGUGACCGGCCACAUUGGGCCUGAGAUACGGCCCAGACUCCUACGGGAGGCAGCAGUGGGGAAUAUUGCACAAUGGGCGGAAGCCUGAUGCAGCAACGCCGCGUGCGGGAUGACGGCCUUCGGGUUGUAAACCGCUUUCGCCUGUGACGAAGCGUGAGUGACGGUAAUGGGUAAAGAAGCACCGGCUAACUACGUG